CGGGCAGGCGGUCUGUUAAGUCGUUUGUGAAAACCCGGGGCUCAACCCCGCGGAAUGCAGACGAUACUGGCAGACUGGAGACCGGUAGAGGCUAGCGGAAUCCCUGGUGUAGCGGUGGAAUGCGUAGAUAUCAGGAAGAACACCUGUGGCGAAGGCGGCUAGCUGGGCCGGGUCUGACGCUCAUCCGCGAAAGCGUGGGGAGCAAACA
RNAcentral lists this ribosomal RNA (208 nucleotides) under uncultured bacterium. RNAcentral describes it as "partial 16S ribosomal RNA". It matches the Rfam family "Bacterial small subunit ribosomal RNA", at positions 568 to 774 of the family's 1533-position model. The record is from RNAcentral.